This 421-nucleotide unclassified non-coding RNA is filed under the name Hevea brasiliensis (rubber tree). Lineage: Eukaryota; Viridiplantae; Streptophyta; Magnoliopsida; Malpighiales; Euphorbiaceae. The record is from RNAcentral.
AAAGCAACUAAUUGAAACAACUUGUUAUCUACAAUCUCAUUACAAUCAAACAUUACUGUAUCAUUACAGCAACUUAAUGCACAUAUAGCCUCAUUUUUGUGAUAGAAGACAUUGAAAUACAUCACAAAGUAUACAGUCAUCCAGCAUAUGGGAAGACAAUUUACAUUACAUCCCUAGAAAUAAUCACAGCACCAUCGCAGGAAGGGGAAAAGAUGUAACUGAAAAACUAUAAUCCCAGAACUUGUAAACUUUAUUCCUUACUCCACUCUUGAUGGUAAAACCAUAAGGGCAACCAAAAAAAAAAAAAUAAUAAUAAUCAAGCCAGAAAAAAGAACUAAUUACUUUAUUUUACAAUUAGAUAUUAUACCCCUCUGACCAAAAAGAAGAAAACUAGCAUACCAUCUCUGGAGUAAGAUCAAUU